CUCCUGGCCGGGGCUCUUUUCACAUUGUGCUACUGUCUGCGCUUGUCACUAGCAGUGCAAUGUAAAAAGGGCAUUGGCUGGGCAG
Molecule: microRNA precursor, 85 nt
Organism: Notamacropus eugenii (tammar wallaby)
Lineage: Eukaryota; Metazoa; Chordata; Mammalia; Diprotodontia; Macropodidae
Gene: MIR130A
Product: microRNA 130a
Source: Ensembl